This 337-nucleotide long non-coding RNA is filed under the name Mus spicilegus (steppe mouse). RNAcentral describes it as "lncRNA (ENSMSIG00000029723.1)". The record is from RNAcentral. Lineage: Eukaryota; Metazoa; Chordata; Mammalia; Rodentia; Muridae.
UACCACUGGCCUGGCAAUCAUUUCUCUCUUUCCAGAUCUCAAAGUUGGGAGUUGCAGUGUGAAGAUGCUAAAUAGCGUAUUUCAGAGCAAGUGGUAUUAAUUCAACAUUGGAAAGACCACUGGUACCCAACAGACCCUUCCAGCUGUGUUCAGAAAGUGUGCUCUCAAGAUCCAAGCUCUCCUUUGCCUGAGUUGUUCCUACAAUCAAAUGCCUAAGAUGGACACACACUGUACAUUGAAGAGUUUCUGCGUGGCCAUGCCACAAUGACCUAAGUAAACGACAGGAAGACUGAAGAACCGUGGAGCAGCCUCUUCUGGACACCUAAGGUGCCAUCUU